UACGGGGGGGGCAAGCGUUGUUCGGAAUUACUGGGCGUAAAGGGCUCGUAGGCGGCCAACUAAGUCAGACGUGAAAUCCCUCGGCUUAACCGGGGAACUGCGUCUGAUACUGGAUGGCUUGAGUUUGGGAGAGGGAUGCGGAAUUCCAGGUGUAGCGGUGAAAUGCGUAGAUAUCUGGAGGAAUACCGGUGGCGAAGGCGGCAUCCUGGACCGGCAUUGACGCUGAGUGAGCGAAAGCCAGGGGAGCAAACGGG
This 254-nucleotide ribosomal RNA is filed under the name uncultured bacterium. Its description in RNAcentral is "partial 16S ribosomal RNA". It matches the Rfam family "Bacterial small subunit ribosomal RNA", at positions 524 to 776 of the family's 1533-position model. The record is from RNAcentral.